Transfer RNA from Trametes cinnabarina, 79 nucleotides. It matches the Rfam family "tRNA". From Rfam's summary of the family: Transfer RNA (tRNA) molecules are approximately 80 nucleotides in length. Their secondary structure includes four short double-helical elements and three loops (D, anti-codon, and T loops). The record is from Rfam. NCBI's taxonomy places the organism in Eukaryota, Fungi, Basidiomycota, Agaricomycetes, Polyporales, Polyporaceae.
GGCCGACUAGCUCAGUUGGUUAGAGCGUGGUGCUAAUAUCGCAACGCCAAGGUCGUCGGUUCGAUCCCGGCGUUGGCCA